Long non-coding RNA from Rhodamnia argentea, 263 nucleotides. RefSeq lists it as uncharacterized. NCBI's taxonomy places the organism in Eukaryota, Viridiplantae, Streptophyta, Magnoliopsida, Myrtales, Myrtaceae. The record is from RefSeq and is a predicted model, not a curated record. The transcript has 2 exons.
CGGGCCAUUGUGUAGUUACCGAUUCAGAUUACUUUGAUCGACAAGAUCCAUCGAUCAUGCGUUAGCUUCUAUUGAAACACCAUGAAGCCAAAGGAAAAAAAAAAAUUCAUGGAAACACUAACCUCAAUCCUGGAGGGUACUCAGGCCACUGGUUGGUCCACUCAAUGACACCCUCUUCACCGUCCUUGUGCGAGGCCGGGACGAGCGUCGUCUCUUGCACGGUGAAGUCGAAGACCUCCUUCCAGUCCCUCACGUUCUUGGUG